UUUAACGGCCGCGGUACCCUAACCGCGCGAAGGUAGCAUAAUCACUUGUUCUUUAAAUGAGGACUCGUAUCAAUGGCACCACGAGGACUUUACUGUCUCCUUUUUCUAAUCAGUGAAACUAAUCUUCCCGUGAAGAAGCGGGAAUAAAUAGAUAAGACGAGAAGACCCCAUGGAGCUUUAAGCUUGCUGCACCUCUAUUUUCUAUAACCUCUUAUUAAACGGAAUACUGCUUACUUAGCUUUAGGUUGGGGUGACCGCGGAGUAUAACAUAACCUCCAUGAUGAACAAAACUAUUUUCUUAUCUAAGAACAACAGUUCUAAGAAUUAGUAUUCUAACAUAAAAUGAUCCGAUAAUCGAUCAACGGACUAAGUUACCCUGGGGAUAACAGCGCAAUCCAUUUCAAGAGCCCCUAUCGACAAAUGGGUUUACGACCUCGAUGUUGGAUCAGGAUAUCCUAGUGGUGCAGCAGCUACUGAAGGUUCGUUUGUUCAACGAUUAAAAUCCU
RNAcentral lists this ribosomal RNA (506 nucleotides) under Gephyromantis enki. RNAcentral's name for it is "partial 16S ribosomal RNA". It matches the Rfam family "Bacterial large subunit ribosomal RNA", at positions 1923 to 2597 of the family's 2925-position model. The record is from RNAcentral. Lineage: Eukaryota; Metazoa; Chordata; Amphibia; Anura; Mantellidae.